GAGUUUGAUCCUGGCUCAGGAUGAACGCUAGCGGAACGCCUAACACAUGCAAGUCGAACGAUUCUCUUUUGAAGCUUGCUUCAGAAGAUGCAAUAGUGGCAGACGAGCGAGUAACGCGUACUUAACUUGCCCUCAAGAUGGGAACAACUACAGAGAUGUAGCUAAUUCCCAAUAUGCUCACGAUGGUGAAAUCCCGAUGUGAGGAAAGAUUUAUCGCUUGAGGAGAGGGGUGCGUCCUAUCAGAUUGUUGGUGAGGUAAUAGCUCACCAAGUCUAUGACGGGUAGCCGGUUUGAGAUGAUGUCCGGCCGCGAUGGAACUGAGAUACGGUCCAUACUCCUACGGGAGGCAGCAGUGGGGAAUCUUGCACAAUGGGCGAAAGCCUGAUGCAGCGAUUCCGCGUGGAGGAUGAAGCAUUACGGUGUGUAAACUCCUUUUUUGGUGGAAGACGAAUGACGGUACACCAAGAAUAAGGGACGGCUAGCUACGUGCCAGCAGCCGGCGGUAAUACUUAGGUCCCAAGCGUUAUCCGGAUUUACUGGGCGUAAAGUGUCCUUAGCCCGAUAUAUAAGUCUGUUUUCAAAUACUGUGGCUCAACCAUAGCAAGGGAAUAGAUACUGUAUAUCUAGAGAAUAUUGGAGGUUAGUGGAAUUUCCGGUGGAGCGGUGAAAUGCGUUGAUAUCGGAAGGAACGCCGAAAGCGAAAGCAGCUAACUAUGAUUAUUCUGACGGUGAGGGACGACAGCUUGAGGAGCAAACGGGAUUAGAUACCCCGGUAGUUCAAGCCGUAAAUGAUCUUUGCUAGGUGUUCCAGCACCAUUUUUUACAGAAUGCAUAUAACAUUCUUUUGUGAAUAUUUUUUCAUAUGAAGAUAUGUUUUAAUAUUGUGUUUUUUGGAAAAUGGUGCUGGAGUGCCGUAAGUUAACACGUUAAGCAAAGCGCCUGGGUAGUAUAUUCGCAAGAAUGAAACUCAAAGGGAUAGGCGGGGGAGC
RNAcentral lists this ribosomal RNA (989 nucleotides) under uncultured candidate division SR1 bacterium. RNAcentral describes it as "bacterial SSU rRNA". It matches the Rfam family "Bacterial small subunit ribosomal RNA", at positions 9 to 922 of the family's 1533-position model. The record is from RNAcentral. Lineage: Bacteria; Candidatus Absconditibacteriota.